RNAcentral lists this ribosomal RNA (253 nucleotides) under uncultured bacterium. RNAcentral's name for it is "partial 16S ribosomal RNA". It matches the Rfam family "Bacterial small subunit ribosomal RNA", at positions 524 to 776 of the family's 1533-position model. The record is from RNAcentral.
UACGUAGGGUCCGAGCGUUGUCCGGAAUUAUUGGGCGUAAAGGGCUCGUAGGCGGUUAGUCGCGUCGGGAGUGAAAACUCAGGGCUCAACCCUGAGCGUGCUUCCGAUACGGGCUGACUAGAGGUAUGCAGGGGAGAACGGAAUUCCUGGUGUAGCGGUGGAAUGCGCAGAUAUCAGGAGGAACACCGGUGGCGAAGGCGGGUCUCUGGGCCGAUACUGACGCUGAGGAGCGAAAGCGUGGGGAGCGAACAGG